Molecule: non-coding RNA, 30 nt
Filed under: Cricetulus griseus (Chinese hamster)
Lineage: Eukaryota; Metazoa; Chordata; Mammalia; Rodentia; Cricetidae
Source: RNAcentral
GUUGAUGAUGUAACCUGUAGCUUUCUGAGA